ACCAAUAUAGUCCAGAGGUCAGGAUGUCGGAUUUUCAAUCCUUUGAUUGGAAAAUCUCCGAAGACCCGGGUUCAAACCCUGGUAUCGGUA
Non-coding RNA from Byssothecium circinans, 90 nucleotides. NCBI's taxonomy places the organism in Eukaryota, Fungi, Ascomycota, Dothideomycetes, Pleosporales, Massarinaceae. The record is from the annotation of a GenBank genome assembly.